RNAcentral lists this ribosomal RNA (253 nucleotides) under uncultured bacterium. Its description in RNAcentral is "partial 16S ribosomal RNA". It matches the Rfam family "Bacterial small subunit ribosomal RNA", at positions 524 to 776 of the family's 1533-position model. The record is from RNAcentral.
UACGGGGGGGGCAAGCGUUGUUCGGAAUUACUGGGCGUAAAGGGCGCGUAGGCGGCCUUCUAAGUCGGACGUGAAAUCCCUCGGCUUAACCGAGGAACUGCGUCCGAUACUGAAAGGCUUGAAUCCGGGAGAGGGAUGUGGAAUUCCAGGUGUAGCGGUGAAAUGCGCAGAUAUCAGGAGGAACACCGGUGGCGAAGGCGGUUCUCUGGGCCUGUACUGACGCUGAGGAGCGAAAGCGUGGGGAGCAAACAGG